CGGUGAAACUUGCUCUUCGAUUCAGCGGCGGACGGGUGAGUAAUACCUAGGAAUCUGCCUGGUAGUGGGGGACAACGUUUCGAAAGGAACGCUAAUACCGCAUACGUCCUACGGGAGAAAGCAGGGGACCUUCGGGCCUUGCGCUAUCAGAUGAGCCUAGGUCGGAUUAGCUAGUUGGUGAGGUAAUGGCUCACCAAGGCGACGAUCCGUAACUGGUCUGAGAGGAUGAUCAGUCACACUGGAACUGAGACACGGUCCAGACUCCUACGGGAGGCAGCAGUGGGGAAUAUUGGACAAUGGGCGAAAGCCUGAUCCAGCCAUGCCGCGUGUGUGAAGAAGGUCUUCGGAUUGUAAAGCACUUUAAGUUGGGAGGAAGGGUACUUACCUAAUACGUGAGUAUUUUGACGUUACCGACAGAAUAAGCACCGGCUAACUCUGUGCCAGCAGCCGCGGUAAUACAGAGGGUGCAAGCGUUAAUCGGAAUUACUGGGCGUAAAGCGCGCGUARGUGGUUCGUUAAGUUGGAUGUGAAAUCCCCGGGCUCAACCUGGGAACUGCAUCCAAAACUGGCGAGCUAGAGUA
Molecule: ribosomal RNA, 581 nt
Filed under: Pseudomonas sp. MA9T4
Lineage: Bacteria; Pseudomonadati; Pseudomonadota; Gammaproteobacteria; Pseudomonadales; Pseudomonadaceae
Description: bacterial SSU rRNA
Rfam family: Bacterial small subunit ribosomal RNA
Source: RNAcentral